GGGGAUGUAGCUCAGUGGAAGAGUGUUUGCCUAGCUUGUAGAAAGCUCUGGGUUUGAUUCUCAGUACCAUCA
RNAcentral lists this transfer RNA (72 nucleotides) under Heterocephalus glaber (naked mole-rat). It matches the Rfam family "tRNA". From Rfam's summary of the family: Transfer RNA (tRNA) molecules are approximately 80 nucleotides in length. The record is from Rfam by way of RNAcentral. Lineage: Eukaryota; Metazoa; Chordata; Mammalia; Rodentia; Bathyergidae.